GCCGGAGUGGCGGAAUGGCAGACGCGCUGGAUUCAAAAUCCAGUGGCCGCAAGGUCGUGAGGGUUCGACUCCCUCCUCCGGCACCA
Molecule: transfer RNA, 86 nt
Filed under: Planctomycetota bacterium
Lineage: Bacteria; Pseudomonadati; Planctomycetota
Also listed under: 1 other name
Description: Planctomycetes bacterium (sediment metagenome) tRNA-Leu
Rfam family: tRNA
About the family: Transfer RNA (tRNA) molecules are approximately 80 nucleotides in length. Their secondary structure includes four short double-helical elements and three loops (D, anti-codon, and T loops).
Source: RNAcentral